This 633-nucleotide long non-coding RNA is filed under the name Podarcis lilfordi (Lilford's wall lizard). The record is from RNAcentral. Lineage: Eukaryota; Metazoa; Chordata; Lepidosauria; Squamata; Lacertidae.
CGCUGUCUGUGAGCACGCUCCUGGGGACCUCUGGCCUUGUGAGAAACAUCAGGCAACUGUGUGGAGGAAUAAGCCGCUUCAGCCUUCCACAGCCAGAUGUUUUGCACUAAAGUCCCAUCAGCCUCCUUUGAGUGUAGCCUCCUGACCACAGCCGUCUCUUCUCUCUGCCCAAUUCCUCUCCUCCUCCUCUCCCUUUUUCUCCUCUUGCUCUCAUUCAUUUGGACCGGUCAGGGACAGAGUUGUUCCCUGCAGCAGUGAAUGCUAUGAGGAACCCAGAGUGGCAGAGUGAGAACAUCUCCAGUCUAUGAUGUCCUCACAGGAAGCCCAUUCAGACUCUCAAGACCUGGUAGGACUAUACCGAGACAUUGGCAUAGGCCAAUCCAGACUAUAUUUGACAAGGACAGCGUACCUUGUCCUGAAGAAUUUCCUUACCCUUGAUUUUUGAGAGUUUGUAUUUUACAACAUGCAGCACAACAACGAGCUCUGUGUAACCUGAAUGCUCCCAUACUAUGUUGGAAACUGACUAUUGGUCCAAAGAAAAGGCAUUGAGUUAACCUGUGCCAGUAGCAUUUUGCUUCCUUUUAAAACAAUUACUCACCACUAGAUGGUAGUAUUCCUCUCUUUUGCAACCAG